RNAcentral lists this long non-coding RNA (2443 nucleotides) under Oryctolagus cuniculus (rabbit). Its description in RNAcentral is "lncRNA (ENSOCUG00000035114.1)". Lineage: Eukaryota; Metazoa; Chordata; Mammalia; Lagomorpha; Leporidae. The record is from RNAcentral.
GUCACCUGUGUGACCUCUGUGACCUCUCACCCCGUCAGCCCUCUCACUGAGGAGAGUGAGCACCCGUGCAGACAGGGUUACGGUGACGGAGCGGAGAACCUCACUGGGCGGGCUGUAGGCACGCAGUCACACAGACCCACUGUGCGCCCAUUCCUCGCAGACACAGUGUGUGCCCAUUCCUCACACAGACCCACUGUGCGCCCAUUCGUCACACACACUGUGUGCCCAUUCCUCACAGACCCACUGUGUGCCCAUUCCUCACAGACACACACACUGUGUGCCCAUUCCUCACAGACCCACUGUGCGCCCAUUCCUCACACAGACCCACUGUGUGCCCAUUCCUCUCAGAGCCACUGUGUGCCUGUUCCUCACAGACCCACUGUGUGCCCAUUCCUCACACACACACUGUGCCCAUUCCUCACAGACACACUGUGCGCCCAUUCCUCACAGACCCACUGUGUGCCCAUUCCUCACACACACUGUGCCCAUUCCUCACAGACCCACUGUGUGCCCAUUCCUCACAGACACACUGUGCGCCCAUUCCUCACAGACCCACUGUGCGCCCAUUCCUCACACACACUGUGUGCCCAUUCCUCACAGACCCACUGUGUGCCCAUUCCUCACACAGACACACUGUGUGCCCAUUCCUCACACAGACACACUGUGUGCCCAUUCCUCACAGACACACACACUGUGUGCCCGUUCCUCACAGACCCACUGUGUGCCCGUUCCUCACAGACCCACUGUGCGCCCGUUCCUCACACACACUGUGUACCAUUCCUCACACAGACCCACUGUGUGCCCAUUCCUCACACACACUGUGUGCCCAUUCCUCACAGACCCACUGUGUGCCCAUUCCUCACACACACUGUUUACCAUUCCUCACAGACCCACUGUGUGCCCAUUCCUCACAGACACACUGUGUGCCCAUUCCUCACAGACCCACUGUGUGCCCAUUCCUCACAGACAUACUGUGCGCCCAUUCCUCACAGAGCCACUGUGCGCCCAUUCCUCACAGAGCCACUGUGCGCCCAUUCCUCACACAGACACACUGUGUGCCCAUUCCUCACACAGACACACUGUGUGCCCGUUCCUCACAGACCCACUGUGCGCCCAUCCUCACACAGACCCACUGUGUGCCCAUUCCUCACACAGACACACUGUGCGCCCAUUCCUCACACAGACACACUGUGUGCCCAUUCCUCACACACACACUGUGCCCAUUCCUCGCAGACACACUGUGCGCCCAUUUCUCACAGACCCACUGUGCGCCCAUUCCUCACAGGCACACCGCGCGCCCCUCUCAGUGUUCUGCGCACCAUGCCCCUCUCAUUGGUCGCCCGCCGGUCCCGGCAGUGCUGGGCGCUCCGUGCCGUGAGGAGGAGCGGGCUGUGGGGACGGCGCGGGCAGCAUGGCUGGGGCCUGCCGCCCUGCGGUGCCUAGAGCGCCUUGCCGCUCUGAACGCCUGAGCCCGAGCUCGGCAGCGCAGGCCACAGCUGCUCUUGGGGUCCUGGCUGCCGCGUCCAGUCUCUGCUGGGCCGCCCGUCGGCCGCCGCUGGGGGUUCCCGAGAGAGAAGUCGUCGUCCUCCAAGGACGCCUCCCUGUGCCGCAGAUUCCUGGGGCCUCCGUCCUGCCGGCCGGCUGAAGGCAUUGCUGUCGAUUUCUGGGGCGGCCGGCGUUUGACGGGAGCAGCAGAGUCUCAGUGGGAGGAAUGAGGAGGUUAGUCCGGAGCUCAGACCUCACGCGCACCCCGAGCCGUGCGAGCUGACAGGCGGCGGUUCCUGGGCAGCGGGGAGAGACGGGUUGAGUCUGCACUGCAUCGCCGUCGCGGGGGCUCGCACAGGCCGACCCCGUCCGUCUCUGGUUCCCUCCAGAGUCAGACGACCUGCAGCCGGCACUGGUGCCUGGUGCCCUGGAGUUGUGCGUGCCCCUGUCCAAGGGCUCCACGGCCUCCCAGGAGGAGAUCCCUGGCAGCCGGGGAGCUCUGAGCCCCAGGGGAGCCUGCUGGUCAGAGGCCGCGUGUGUGAGCGGCAGGGUGCCCCGUGCCGACCUCGGGCGCAGCCGGCGCUGCCUUCCCUCCUCGCAGAGCCUCGCAGACUUCCCUCGUGGCCGCCCCGUCCCGGCUGUAUGGGAGGGAGGGUCAUGGCCUGCCCCGUCCCGGCUGAACGGGAGGGUCAUGGCCUGCCCCAUCCUGACCGUAUGGGAGGGCUGUGGCCUGCCCCGUCCUGGCCGAAUGGGAGGGCCGUGGCCUGCCCCGUCCUGGCUGAACGGGAGGGUCGUGGCCUGCCCUGUCCUGGCUAAACAGGAGGGUCAUGGCCUGCCCCAUCCUGACCGUACGGGAGGGUCAUGGCCUGCCCCGUCCUGGCUGAACGGGAGGGCCAUGGCCUGCCCCAUCCUGACCGUACGGGAGGGCCAUGGCCUGCCCCGUCCUGGCUGAACGGGA